Molecule: ribosomal RNA, 481 nt
Filed under: uncultured bacterium
Lineage: Bacteria
Description: partial 16S ribosomal RNA
Rfam family: Bacterial small subunit ribosomal RNA
Source: RNAcentral
AUUGAACGCUGGCGGCAUGCUUUACACAUGCAAGUCGAACGGUAACAGGCCGCAAGGUGCUGACGAGUGGCGAACGGGUGAGUAAUGCAUCGGAACGUGCCCAGUCGUAGGGGAUAACUACUCGAAAGAGUAGCUAAUACCGCAUACGAUCUAUGGAUGAAAGCGGGGGACCGUAAGGCCUCGCGCGAUUGGAGCGGCCGAUGUCAGAUUAGGUAGUUGGUGGGGUAAAGGCUCACCAAGCCAACGAUCUGUAGCUGGUCUGAGAGGACGACCAGCCACACUGGGACUGAGACACGGCCCAGACUCCUACGGGAGGCAGCAGUGGGGAAUUUUGGACAAUGGGCGCAAGCCUGAUCCAGCAAUGCCGCGUGCAGGAAGAAGGCCUUCGGGUUGUAAACUGCUUUUGUACGGAACGAAACGGCUCUGGUUAAUACCCGGGGCUAAUGACGGUACCGUAAGAAUAAACACCGGCUAACUACGU